CAUAGGUUAAUGAGGCGAACCGGGGGAACUGAAACAUCUAAGUACCCCGAGGAAAAGAAAUCAACCGAGAUUCCCCCAGUAGCGGCGAGCGAACGGGGAGCAGCCCAGAGCCUGAAUCAGUGUGUGUGUUAGUGGAAGCGUCUGGAAAGGCGCGCGAUACAGGGUGACAGCCCCGUACACAAAAAUGCACAUACUGUGAGCUCGAUGAGUAGGGCGGGACACGUGGUAUCCUGUCUGAAUAUGGGGGGACCAUCCUCCAAGGCUAAAUACUCCUGACUGACCGAUAGUGAACCAGUACCGUGAGGGAAAGGCGAAAAGAACCCCGGCGAGGGGAGUGAAAAAGAACCUGAAACCGUGUACGUACAAGCAGUGGGAGCACGCUUAGGCGUGUGACUGCGUACCUUUUGUAUAAUGGGUCAGCGACUUAUAUUCUGUAGCAAGGUUAACCGAAUAGGGGAGCCGAAGGGAAACCGAGUCUUAACUGGGCGUUAAGUUGCAGGGUAUAGACCCGAAACCCGGUGAUCUAGCCAUGGGCAGGUUGAAGGUUGGGUAACACUAACUGGAGGACCGAACCGACUAAUGUUGAAAAAUUAGCGGAUGACUUGUGGCUGGGGGUGAAAGGCCAAUCAAACCGGGAGAUAGCUGGUUCUCCCCGAAAGCUAUUUAGGUAGCGCCUCGUGAAUUCAUCUCCGGGGGUAGAGCACUGUUUCGGCAAGGGGGUCAUCCCGACUUACCAACCCGAUGCAAACUGCGAAUACCGGAGAAUGUUAUCACGGGAGACACACGGCGGGUGCUAACGUCCGUCGUGAAGAGGGAAACAACCCAGACCGCCAGCUAAGGUCCCAAAGUCAUGGUUAAGUGGGAAACGAUGUGGGAAGGCCCAGACAGCCAGGAUGUUGGCUUAGAAGCAGCCAUCAUUUAAAGAAAGCGUAAUAGCUCACUGGUCGAGUCGGCCUGCGCGGAAGAUGUAACGGGGCUAAACCAUGCACCGAAGCUGCGGCAGCGACGCUGAUGCGUUGUUGGGUAGGGGAGCGUUCUGUAAGCCUGUGAAGGUGUGCUGUGAGGCAUGCUGGAGGUAUCAGAAGUGCGAAUGCUGACAUAAGUAACGAUAAAGCGGGUGAAAAGCCCGCUCGCCGGAAGACCAAGGGUUCCUGUCCAACGUUAAUCGGGGCAGGGUGAGUCGACCCCUAAGGCGAGGCCGAAAGGCGUAGUCGAUGGGAAACAGGUUAAUAUUCCUGUACUUGGUGUUACUGCGAAGGGGGGACGGAGAAGGCUAUGUUGGCCGGGCGACGGUUGUCCCGGUUUAAGCGUGUAGGCUGGUUUUCCAGGCAAA
RNAcentral lists this ribosomal RNA (1333 nucleotides) under Escherichia coli. Its description in RNAcentral is "partial 23S ribosomal RNA". It matches the Rfam family "Bacterial large subunit ribosomal RNA", at positions 165 to 1540 of the family's 2925-position model. Lineage: Bacteria; Pseudomonadati; Pseudomonadota; Gammaproteobacteria; Enterobacterales; Enterobacteriaceae. The record is from RNAcentral.